This 2404-nucleotide ribosomal RNA is filed under the name Escherichia coli. RNAcentral's name for it is "partial 23S ribosomal RNA". It matches the Rfam family "Bacterial large subunit ribosomal RNA", at positions 1 to 2431 of the family's 2925-position model. The record is from RNAcentral. Lineage: Bacteria; Pseudomonadati; Pseudomonadota; Gammaproteobacteria; Enterobacterales; Enterobacteriaceae.
GUUAAGCGACUAAGCGUACACGGUGGAUGCCCUGGCAGUCAGAGGCGAUGAAGGACGUGCUAAUCUGCGAUAAGCGUCGGUAAGGUGAUAUGAACCGUUAUAACCGGCGAUUUCCGAAUGGGGAAACCCAGUGUGAUUCGUCACACUAUCAUUAACUGAAUCCAUAGGUUAAUGAGGCGAACCGGGGGAACUGAAACAUCUAAGUACCCCGAGGAAAAGAAAUCAACCGAGAUUCCCCCAGUAGCGGCGAGCGAACGGGGAGCAGCCCAGAGCCUGAAUCAGUGUGUGUGUUAGUGGAAGCGUCUGGAAAGGCGCGCGAUACAGGGUGACAGCCCCGUACACAAAAAUGCACAUACUGUGAGCUCGAUGAGUAGGGCGGGACACGUGGUAUCCUGUCUGAAUAUGGGGGGACCAUCCUCCAAGGCUAAAUACUCCUGACUGACCGAUAGUGAACCAGUACCGUGAGGGAAAGGCGAAAAGAACCCCGGCGAGGGGAGUGAAAAAGAACCUGAAACCGUGUACGUACAAGCAGUGGGAGCACGCUUAGGCGUGUGACUGCGUACCUUUUGUAUAAUGGGUCAGCGACUUAUAUUCUGUAGCAAGGUUAACCGAAUAGGGGAGCCGAAGGGAAACCGAGUCUUAACUGGGCGUUAAGUUGCAGGGUAUAGACCCGAAACCCGGUGAUCUAGCCAUGGGCAGGUUGAAGGUUGGGUAACACUAACUGGAGGACCGAACCGACUAAUGUUGAAAAAUUAGCGGAUGACUUGUGGCUGGGGGUGAAAGGCCAAUCAAACCGGGAGAUAGCUGGUUCUCCCCGAAAGCUAUUUAGGUAGCGCCUCGUGAAUUCAUCUCCGGGGGUAGAGCACUGUUUCGGCAAGGGGGUCAUCCCGACUUACCAACCCGAUGCAAACUGCGAAUACCGGAGAAUGUUAUCACGGGAGACACACGGCGGGUGCUAACGUCCGUCGUGAAGAGGGAAACAACCCAGACCGCCAGCUAAGGUCCCAAAGUCAUGGUUAAGUGGGAAACGAUGUGGGAAGGCCCAGACAGCCAGGAUGUUGGCUUAGAAGCAGCCAUCAUUUAAAGAAAGCGUAAUAGCUCACUGGUCGAGUCGGCCUGCGCGGAAGAUGUAACGGGGCUAAACCAUGCACCGAAGCUGCGGCAGCGACGCUGAUGCGUUGUUGGGUAGGGGAGCGUUCUGUAAGCCUGUGAAGGUGUGCUGUGAGGCAUGCUGGAGGUAUCAGAAGUGCGAAUGCUGACAUAAGUAACGAUAAAGCGGGUGAAAAGCCCGCUCGCCGGAAGACCAAGGGUUCCUGUCCAACGUUAAUCGGGGCAGGGUGAGUCGACCCCUAAGGCGAGGCCGAAAGGCGUAGUCGAUGGGAAACAGGUUAAUAUUCCUGUACUUGGUGUUACUGCGAAGGGGGGACGGAGAAGGCUAUGUUGGCCGGGCGACGGUUGUCCCGGUUUAAGCGUGUAGGCUGGUUUUCCAGGCAAAUCCGGAAAAUCAAGGCUGAGGCGUGAUGACGAGGCACUACGGUGCUGAAGCAACAAAUGCCCUGCUUCCAGGAAAAGCCUCUAAGCAUCAGGUAACAUCAAAUCGUACCCCAAACCGACACAGGUGGUCAGGUAGAGAAUACCAAGGCGCUUGAGAGAACUCGGGUGAAGGAACUAGGCAAAAUGGUGCCGUAACUUCGGGAGAAGGCACGCUGAUAUGUAGGUGAAGCGACUUGCUCGUGGAGCUGAAAUCAGUCGAAGAUACCAGCUGGCUGCAACUGUUUAUUAAAAACACAGCACUGUGCAAACACGAAAGUGGACGUAUACGGUGUGACGCCUGCCCGGUGCCGGAAGGUUAAUUGAUGGGGUCAGCGCAAGCGAAGCUCUUGAUCGAAGCCCCGGUAAACGGCGGCCGUAACUAUAACGGUCCUAAGGUAGCGAAAUUCCUUGUCGGGUAAGUUCCGACCUGCACGAAUGGCGUAAUGAUGGCCAGGCUGUCUCCACCCGAGACUCAGUGAAAUUGAACUCGCUGUGAAGAUGCAGUGUACCCGCGGCAAGACGGAAAGACCCCGUGAACCUUUACUAUAGCUUGACACUGAACAUUGAGCCUUGAUGUGUAGGAUAGGUGGGAGGCUUUGAAGUGUGGACGCCAGUCUGCAUGGAGCCGACCUUGAAAUACCACCCUUUAAUGUUUGAUGUUCUAACGUUGACCCGUAAUCCGGGUUGCGGACAGUGUCUGGUGGGUAGUUUGACUGGGGCGGUCUCCUCCUAAAGAGUAACGGAGGAGCACGAAGGUUGGCUAAUCCUGGUCGGACAUCAGGAGGUUAGUGCAAUGGCAUAAGCCAGCUUGACUGCGAGCGUGACGGCGCGAGCAGGUGCGAAAGCAGGUCAUAGUGAUCCGGUGGUUCUG